GUAGGUGGGGUAACGGCUCACCUAGGCGACGAUCCCUAGCUGGUCUGAGAGGAUGACCAGCCACACUGGAACUGAGACACGGUCCAGACUCCUACGGGAGGCAGCAGUGGGGAAUAUUGCACAAUGGGCGCAAGCCUGAUGCAGCCAUGCCGCGUGUAUGAAGAAGGCCUUCGGGUUGUAAAGUACUUUCAGCGGGGAGGAAGGGAGUAAAGUUAAUACCUUUGCUCAUUGACGUUACCCGCAGAAGAAGCACCGGCUAACUCCGUGCCAGCAGCCGCGGUAAUACGGAGGGUGCAAGCGUUAAUCGGAAUUACUGGGCGUAAAGCGCACGCAGGCGGUUUGUUAAGUCAGAUGUGAAAUCCCCGGGCUCAACCUGGGAACUGCAUCUGAUACUGGCAAGC
RNAcentral lists this ribosomal RNA (401 nucleotides) under Escherichia coli. Its description in RNAcentral is "bacterial SSU rRNA". It matches the Rfam family "Bacterial small subunit ribosomal RNA", at positions 248 to 641 of the family's 1533-position model. Lineage: Bacteria; Pseudomonadati; Pseudomonadota; Gammaproteobacteria; Enterobacterales; Enterobacteriaceae. The record is from RNAcentral.